GAAAAUGUUCUUGAAUCAUGUAAAACUUCAAAUUUAUUCAAGAAUGUAUUAAAUUAUCCAGAAAGUAUAAGCUUGGAGUUAUCAUUAAAAAGUGCCUUGCACCAGAUAUUUUCAAUAAUUAGCUAUCGAGACCAUCCUCAGUUGU
This 145-nucleotide long non-coding RNA is filed under the name Dendronephthya gigantea. Its description in RNAcentral is "uncharacterized LOC114542767". The record is from RNAcentral. Lineage: Eukaryota; Metazoa; Cnidaria; Anthozoa; Malacalcyonacea; Nephtheidae.